Molecule: long non-coding RNA, 4782 nt
Filed under: Homo sapiens (human)
Lineage: Eukaryota; Metazoa; Chordata; Mammalia; Primates; Hominidae
Description: HSALNT0303733
Source: RNAcentral
UAGUACAUUCAUAAUAAUUAUUUAUUAAUCUGUUCAUACAAAAAGAAUUUCAACUUUCCUGGUCCUGAAAUAUGCAAAUAUGAUAAGGCACUCUUAACUCUUUCAGAACUCAAAGUGUGGAGUGAGAUAUACAAACACUCGAAACAAAUACACUUAAAUAUUACAAAGUCUAAUUCAGGACUAAACUUGACUUAAAUAUUAUUAUAAGAACAGGUGUGGAAAGGAGCUUGUGAUUAGGAUAGUAGGUUUAGAGGACACAUCAAUGCAGAGGCUAGAAAUUAAUUGAAAAGUGACCUUUCUUUCAGACAGGGAAGAAUUGUUAUAUUAGAAAAAAACAGUAUAUUCAAACAGGCACAAGUAUGGGUUAUUCUAGGAAAAGGGCCUGAUUCUGUGUACUAGAGCAGGUAGAAUAUAGAGAGAUGAGACUGACUUUAUAACUUGGUACCUGUCAAAAGUUUUAUGCUAUGCUGAAAAGUUUGGACUUGAUAUUGGGAGACAUAUUUUUCAGUUUUGUUUUUUGGUUAGCAGAGGUUUGAUGCAAUCACAUUUGGUGUUAGAUAGAUAACGCUGGGUACAGUGUGGAGAAUAAAUGGGGAGGGGCUAUUGUCGCUAUCAUAGCUGUGGUGAAGAAAGUGAGGUAAAAAUUGAUUCAAGAGAUGUUCAAGAAAUAUAAUCAACAGAACUCAAUUGAAUUGAAAUGGGCUCUUGGUCCCUCUAGAUUGUUUUUCCUUUCUUUUUCUUUUCUUUUUAAAUACAAGUCUGCCCUUAUUUCAAGAUCUAAAUUGUUGAGAGCACCUGCCACCAUCUAAGUAGAAGUCAAUUGCUUUCUUGCUGACUUCUUUUUUAAGAACAAAUCAAACUCUCGUCCUUGCCCUUUAGAUAUUAGAGUUAUCUUUGGAUGAGAACACUGCUUAGUUGUGGAAGAAUUGUCAAGAAAAUGAUGCCCAUAUAUGUAUUUAAAAGUUACCUCCCUAUGGUACUACUUAAAAUAGGCUAAAUGGCAAAUCUGUGGAUAGAAAAAAAAAUGUACCAAUUUCAAAGAAGAAAGAUCUUGAAAGUUGUAUUUGAAACUCUCUUUCACAGUGUAUAUUAGGCAUACAAUAUAUCACAAAAGGUGUUAAGGUAAAUUCCAGAUUGUCAUUUUCCAGAGGGCAAAGAAACAACACAUACAGAAUUGUGUUUUUCUGUAAGAACAAAUGCAUUUCUCAUACUACAGUAGAUCCUACAUCCUAAUCUACUAUGUGUGAUGUCUAAGGAAAUUUGUUCUCUCAAUGCCAAAAUGUUUGUUGCCUUUUCCUCCCAGUUGUGGAUAUUGUUUAAAAUUCAUAUGCCUCUGCCACUUCUCAAAAUUUCAGUUGCUCAUUUUUCUGUUCUUUAAAAGGUUUUUAAUACUUAAGAAAUCAUUUAUCAUGGUCUCUUCCUUCAGUAGCAGUCACUCUGAGUUGGCAAUCUUACAGAUUUUAUAAUCCCCUUCUUUCCUGGCAACGAAUUCUUGAUUUUGUUCAGAAAUGCAAUUACAUUACGAGAAGAUGAACUAUGAUUACUGUAAAGCAGUAGUGGUAGAACAUUAUCCACUGUUAGAAAUUUACUUUUGUAGUCUUCUGUGAAACUAACAUAUAGUCAUAUGAUAAGUAUGGGCAAAUGAGGGGUUAGUAUUAUUAUUUUAAAAGCCUUCUGGAAGGAUUUUGACUGUCUGAUAAUACAGAUAGUAUGCUGAGAAUCUGCUUUUACUUUUCCCUCAAUAAAUGUAUAAAUCAUUAAAUAGAGUCAUGAUACCCACUGAGGUGGUAGUCAUCUUUCAAUCAGAAGUAACAUGCACAAUGACCAAAAUACAAAGCUAUGAGGAUGGUGGAACAAAUGGGAUAAAAAAACCUGAGUUCUGAGGUGUGAACAUAAAUUACUCUCUGAGGGCAAAAAACAAACAAACAAACAAAAAUCCUGAUUUGUAGCAUUUGCCAAUUUUAAUGUAUACAUAAUCUAACUAUAGUUGAAUUUACCAAUCACAGAACAUCCAGCACACCACUGCCUGGGUCCCUUAUGACAUAAAUGAGCUACUGGGCUUGCUCUAGAUUAUCUAACUUAGAUGUCGCUACUUACUUAUUUUUAAAAAUACUUAACUAAACAUCUACUAUAUGUCAGGAGCUCUCCAAGGCAUUUGGGAUACAUCAUUGAAUGAAGUAUAAAAAAGAAAAUCCUUUUUUUUUUUUUCACAGAGCUAAAAUUCUAUAAGGGCGAGAAAGACCAUCAACAAUCAACAUAACAGAUAACUACAUUAUGUGAUAUUUUAGAAGUUGAUAGCCUCAUUAAAAAAAGAAAGAAACAGUAGAGCAGAGUAAGGAAGAUAAUAAGAAUCUAGUGGCCAGAAGAGGCAAAUUGUAGUAAUAAAUAAGAAGGUCCAGAUAGGACGCAUUGAGUCAGUGACAUUUGACCAAAAUUUUGAAAGAGAAGAAAUGUUUCACUAAUUGGAUAUCUGCGAGCGGAGCAUUCCAGGCAGAGGGGACUGCAAGAGCAAAGGCGGUUGCUCAGGAGCCUGCUUGCGGAGACAUCAGGAGCAACGUUAGCAAGAAAAAGGAGGAAAGGCAAAUAGGCAUUUACUUUAAGCAUUACAAACUAGCAAAAUGUCCCAACAAUGAAGAAAUACUUACUUUUAAGAAUAAAAUGAAGAAAAUAUGAGAUCUAAGUGAGCAACUGGGAAGUUUACUCCAACAGAUCUGAGUCAACAUUUACAAAUCCCUAUGCUACACUGAAUAGUUCAGAACUUUGGAACUUCAAGACUCUGGUACAUUCAUCAAGAAAAUAUCUCCAUCCAGGUGUCUGGAUGGGCAGUUUGCAGCUCUUCUGCAGUGGGCCAUUUGCAGCUUUUCUCAGGGGAAAGGCUACACUGUGGGGCUUCUUCAAUCUCAACACACAGAAGAGUAACUGCUAUUGAAUUCACAUUUAAAACAUAGCUAUAUUUUCCAAAUCAGUUUUCCAUGCUAUCAUUUUAUUUGCACUUCAUAAAAAUACCAUAAAGUAGAAAGGACUGAAAAGUAUCAUAUUUAACUUAGGAGGGGGUGAAGGAUACUGGUUGAGUGCAAGGGUGUUGGAGUAGGAAAGACUGAGUCUGAAUCCCAGCUUUGUCAUUUACUGUUUCUUUCUGUAAGUUAUAUAUUCUUUUUUUUUCCUCAGUUCCCCAUUUAUAAAAUAGAAAAAAUGGCACCACCUACUCAUAAGUUUGUUUUGAGAAAUACAGUGUAUGAUACCUGUUAAACACAUUGGAUAAUGCCCAGAUGUAUUAUAUAUUCAAUAAAUGAAAAUUGUUAUUUAUGUUAAUAGUAUUGCUUUUGAAUGGAAAAAUGAUACACAGAGAAGUUAAAAUGAUGUGAAAAAAGCCAAGAGCUGGUUAAUAGCAUAGUUGAAUUUAGAAGUCACUUUAAUUCCUGUAUCCCUAACCUACAAUAUUUCCCUAACCUAUGACAGUAUGUGAUUAAGUGCAAAAUAUAUAGAUAAUAAAAAGUUACAUAAAAGUUUGCAUGACAUGGACAAUCGUAUACUCCAUGUAUUCUACCUUGGAAAACCAAUGAUAAUUCUAAAUUUUACUUGAAGUUUCCUAGCUCCAUAAGCUGUUUACUAGAUAGAAAUCUUUUGUUAUGUAUUUGAAAAAUCAGAUAAUCUAAAAUGUAUCCCCUGGUUGUGACCUGAACUUCUUCGGUCUCAGUGGACAUAAAUAUUCCAAUCUUGUGUACAGUUUAUCUUUGAAUAUAAAUAAAUAUAUGGUUUCUCAUUUGUGAAUUGACCAGAUGAAGUUGUUUAGUUUUAACUAACUCUGUAACAGAAUUAUAGCCCCUAGAAUGCAUAAUAUGUUGCAUCAAAAGUACCAUUUCUUUUCAUUAUGGGAUAUCACUUACCAUCCAUGGGGGUCUUUCCCACUCAAUACAGAAAGGCCUGGGAAUUAAUUUUGACAAAAUGCCUUAAGAAAACACACACAGAAAAUAGGAGUACGUACAAGAGUUGAAUAGUAUAUGCCAAACAUACAAUAUAUUCUAAUGAUAUCACAACAAUAUACUGUUCUCAGUCUUCAAAUAGCCUCAACUAUUACAUUACUAUGGAUCUCAUGAUUUGGAGAAGAUUGCAAAGACAUGUUACUUUGGCUAGCUCUUGGAAGAUAUUUAGAGUUUAGUUGGGCAACAAAAAGCAGUCAGAACAGUCCAUGUUACUAAUUUGAUAUUCGAUGAUGUCUAAGAGUCAAUAAUGAUGACAAAUUAGUGUGUUUACAUGUGGAGCAGAUCCACAUAGUUGGAUACAAAAACCAGAUAUUACUAUGAAACUGUGUGCAGAUUAUCUUAGAAAAUAUCCUUCGUGGCUAGCUGUGCACACUAUGAUAUUCCACCCCUUGUGCCAUAGGUUAGAUGAAGGUUUGUCCUUCACUUAAAGAAUUUUGCUGUGUGUGUGCAUGUGUGUGUGCGUGUGUGUGUAUUGCUAUAGGCUCACUUAGGAGACCCCUAUAAGAAUGGAACUUAGCUAUAGUUUUUGGAUUUUAAGACUGUUCUGUUUGCACUUCUUAAUUCUGUAAAAGAGAAACCAGACUGUAAAUUGAUAAAAGGGAGAUUUAAAUAGUGACUUAAAUACAACAUCUCUUUCUACAAACUCCAGAAAUAUAAAUACACUUCCCCAGAUUUAGAAUAUUGUGAUUAAAGAGAACUAGAGAACAGAAGGAAACAGAUAUUGAGUGGGUAAUGAAUCCACAUCAAGUAAAAGAUUUGUAAAAAUAUAUUGUAAAAUUAAAAAAAAGCAUAGUAUCAG